GGGUGGAGUUAACCGGCUGCGAUGCUGAUCUGACAAAACAAUUGUAAAUAAUGGAGAAUGUAGCAACUAGCAAAACUUCUGUGGAGACAGCAUGUUACAAAUGUUCCUUUUCUUAACUUGACUUGGGCCAGUAAGCAGCCAUCUAGAAAUCAUUUGGUAAUGCCCUAGCAACAACCAAAACAGUGGCGUAACUACCGGCAGUGCGGGAGGGGCAGCUGCACUGUUUGCAAGAAUACUGCCAUUCGCGUGAUCGACUUAAACAAAACUUAAACAAAAGUCAUUUCUAAAUUCAAAUUGCCCUUUAAACUACGCAAAAAAGCAAUAAAAUAACGAAGUGAUCAAAAAAUAUUAUUUAAUCACCUCCCCAAAUCCAAACAUUUGCCGUCUCCAAUGGCUCCAUUUACCAUCACGCAAGCAUCCAUCAACAACAUCAGGUGGAAAAUUACUAAUAGCCUACAGAUUAAGAACUAAAGACAAUCAUAAAUGUAAAGACAAUAAUAAUCAUAAUAAAUAAGCCCAAUAAAUUCCCUUGUGUUACCAAAAUAAUGUUGCCAAAUGUGUGUUCUUAUCGAAUUUGUGUUUGUAUUGCGUUUUGGUAAUACAGUUAAUGCUACCUAAAGAAAAGAAAAUAGAACUCAAUUUUAGAUUCAAGGUGAAUGUGUCUUUUAUUACUUUAUGAUUUAAUCACUUUGGUCUUUGUUUCUUUAAUACAAAGAUAUAUACAGUAUACUACUGAACCUGCAUUCACAAUGCAUGCUAACCAUGUGGAAAUAAAGCAAACUAAACUCACAGCACCCCCUGAGAAGAUCGGAGAUAAUUUGCAGCAUUCUGAUAGACAACACUAUUCUUGCAAACAGUUUUAGGUGAAUGAAACAAAAAAAAGAGUGAAAACUCUUUACAUGCGCUUGUUCCACAAGACAGGCUUGAGCUACAUGCCGACAUGCUUGUGUUUCACAUGACAGGCUCGUGCUACACGCCUCUGGACAAACAGCAAAUCAGACACAAGCAUUGACGGCUUUUGUUUUGUCUGUUCUUAAAAUUAUUAUAAAGUGUGUUUCUUCUUUGUGACUAACAGCAUUUCUUGUCAUGUGUCACUCCGAGACAUCUUACAGGUCACGUAGGAUGAGCAAAAUUACCCAAGCAUUAAAUACAUUUGGACGAGGAGCUUGUGAACUGGAUUCAGCCUCGUCGCAUUUUGCGGGUGGCGGGUGCUAGUUUUGGCUUCCUGAUCUUGGGCCUCCUCCUUGGCCACUAGAUCCCGCUCCUUGGUCUUUCCAGCCAGCGCCACCCUGGUCUGUCCUGCCAGCACCACCCUAGUCGAUCCCGUUGGCGGCACCCUGUUCCAUCCCGCCGGCGUCACCCUGGUCCAUCCUACCGCUGCCACCCUGGUACAUCCUGUUGGUGCCACUCUGGUCAGUCCUGUUGGCACCUCCCUGGUCCAUGUCGCUGGUGCCGUCCUGGUUCGGCCUGCCGGUGCCACCCUGGUCUUUUCUGCCCUGGUCCUUACCUUUGUUUUCUGAUUGUUUGGACUUUUGUUUGUCUUUCUUGUUUGUUCUGUAUUUUGUAGUACCCUACUCCCUAUCUAAACUCAUUUCCCUGUUUUCCAGUCAGUUCGUUCUCAGUUCUUUUUUUCUUGUUGUUUUGUUUUUUCUCCUUAUUGAGAGUUUUUGUUUCCUGUUUGGUUUAGUUUUCCUAGUUGGUUUGUUUUCAGUUUUAUUUUUGUCUUAUCUUUUAUUUUGCCCUCAUGAGAGUUUUGUUUGUAUUUUGUUGGUUUUUCGUUUCAAUAAAACACCUUUCAUUGC
This is a long non-coding RNA of Myxocyprinus asiaticus (Chinese sucker), 1802 nucleotides long. RefSeq lists it as uncharacterized. NCBI's taxonomy places the organism in Eukaryota, Metazoa, Chordata, Actinopteri, Cypriniformes, Catostomidae. The transcript is spliced from 2 exons. The record is from RefSeq and is a predicted model, not a curated record.